CGAAUGCAAAUAUGAACAUAACGCAUCGUUAGAUUUGUUCUUUUAUACAGAUAUAUGUAUAUAUGUAUGUCUUUUAUGCGUACCCCAGCCACUCCCACAGCCACACCCACACCAACAGUGCGAAUGAGAUGGCUAUAAAGUGGGCAAGCGAGAGAGAACGAUAGAGAGAAAUUUUGCUUAUGUUGAUUUUCUCUACAAAAGCUGCACAUCUGCAGUCCUCUCGCUGUGGGAAUAUAUGCGUGUGUUUCCUAUGUAAAAUAAAUUUAUGUAUAAACAUAUACAUACAUAUGUAUGUACUUCAAUCUCCGUGGGUGUGUGUGUUAUUCUAGGUGUAUGUGGAUUUGUUUGGGGCAUGCUGCAUAGUUUGCGUAUACAUCAUAUCAGCAUCAGGACAAUAAUUAUAUGUAUUUCCACCUGAAUUUCGGGGGUUGCAGAUGUGUAAAAUACUCGAAUACUUUGGAAAAGUGAAAAGAAACAUAUAAAUUCAUGCAUAAAGUGCUUAGCAUGACUAUAAGUCUAGUCUAGUCUAAAAUAAACAUUCAUUAUGAAUAAUUCCGAUUUGCUUUCAUUUUCAUUCAAUGUGGAACAAUUUUCAGAAAUUCAAAAUUGUCAAUGUUUUCCCUUUUCAAUAUAGGAUACAUCACGAUAAAAAAUCGUCAAGUGAUCGAUAAACUAUGAUUUCGCAUGAUCGCGUUCGAUGAUUCUAUAUUUUUGAAAUCAAUUUUUGAGUUUAAUAUCUUGUUUACACUAGGGCUGUGUCAUGCGUCUUGCCGGAGACAUAGUUUGGUUAACAUACGAUAAUCAGCGACCUAGUGGUGAAAAAGAAUAACACAUUUUUGUGAGCCCCUGAGACCACAAAAAAACACUGCUGGAUAUAUGGGAGGAAAACAUCGAUGGUGUUCACGGUGUGAGGAAAGUCAAAAGAAAUGACUGGAAAUAAUAACUAAAAAUGAGCAUUAAGCAUCCAUCUUGUUUCCUGUUGCUUGGCAUAAUUAUAUUGAUUGAUCAGUGAACCUCGGGGGAAUUCUUCGUCAUUAUGCACAUCAAUCUAUUCUUAUUAAGCAAUAAGCAGCGUAUGGCUGUGUAAGCGCCUACUAAUUCGAUAUAAAUAGUAAACGAGGGGCAGCUUAAAAAGGCUAUCUAUUACUAUUAAUUUUAUUAAAAAAUUCAUCGAUUCUGGCUAAUAGUUUGGAUUUUCAGAUUGGACGAUUCUUUGCAUUUGCUUAUCUUUAAUACUUAUGAAUCACUUAAUGUGAAGAUACAACCAGUA
Long non-coding RNA from Drosophila pseudoobscura, 1270 nucleotides. RefSeq lists it as uncharacterized. The transcript has 2 exons. Lineage: Eukaryota; Metazoa; Arthropoda; Insecta; Diptera; Drosophilidae. The record is from RefSeq and is a predicted model, not a curated record.